Unclassified non-coding RNA from Otolemur garnettii (small-eared galago), 114 nucleotides. It matches the Rfam family "Y RNA". Rfam says of the family: Y RNAs are components of the Ro ribonucleoprotein particle (Ro RNP), in association with Ro60 and La proteins. Lineage: Eukaryota; Metazoa; Chordata; Mammalia; Primates; Galagidae. The record is from Ensembl.
GAUUGGUCAGAGUGUAGUCAUGUUUAAUGUUUACAGCUAUUAAUAAUUGAUUACAACCAGUUAGGAAUUCCUUUUCCUUCUCUACUCUCAACUGCUUCUCUUGACUAGCCUUUA